Molecule: non-coding RNA, 4978 nt
Organism: Danio rerio (zebrafish)
Lineage: Eukaryota; Metazoa; Chordata; Actinopteri; Cypriniformes; Danionidae
Source: Ensembl
CUGGUGUGCGUCUGCUCCACCAUAGCCAGGGACAGAUGGCCAGCCUGCUACACUUACGAUUAUUUACUUUAGCAGUUACACCUCAGGAACACACCAGGCCACACGACCAUUAUUUUCUCCAGUGGGAUAAACUUGCUUGUGGUGAGGUCACCCAGAUAACUUGUUUAGAGGAGCCAAAACGGUUACAGCCAAUUGUCCAGCUCAGCAGAUUAUUUCCCCCUGGAGCAGAACACUGAGGCUCGCUUCCAUUUUCCUGUCUGUUGGAGUUCAAGAGGACGCAUCACUGGCUGAACAGAGGAGAACGUGACAUUUGAAGGAUGAGAGGCUCUUUUCAUACUGGCAACCGGAAACUUGCAAGCCUUUUUCAUUUCACUGAUGCACUUCAUAGGGGAAGAAGAAAGAAAAGAGUUGCAGAAAGAAAGAACAGUGCACAAAUGCACUAAACUAUAGUUCCUUUAGGGGUGCAUCCGCUUGUGGAACAUUGAAGCUUAUAGAAGUACCUAAAGGCUAUAGUUUGCUACAAUUUAAGGUCCUAAAAUGUACCUUUUAAGGUUUGAGAAGAUACAAAGUUGCCACAGUGGCACAUUGUUGUAUCCCUAAAGGUAUGUUUUGCAAAUUUUGUGUGAACAGUAUAAAAAGGAAGUUUGAAAGCGAGACAGAAAUGAAAAACUAAUCUAAAAUGGAGAUGGCUGAAGGGCAAGUAAGAUGCAUACUGGCUGCUUUUCCCUCAAACAAUCUCCCUUUAUCCUGUUUAUUAAUCAAUACUGCCACUGUUUCCACCCGGCAGCAGAGUUGUGUGUAGCAGACGGCUAAGACGGGGUUUUCAGGUGGCACGCCACACCAAAAACUUCCCAGCAUCCCUUCUGCUCAGCAAAUGAUGACGCAUCAUUCUGCUGACACAAGUCACCUGAUUGCUGUGUCACGGCAGUGGUUUUAGGCGAGUGGCAGCGCUCUGGCUACAGACGUAGAGUCUUUUUUUUCCUCCCAGACGCACUGCGGCACAGCCAGACGACUAGAGUGGAAGCACAGGAGCUCACAGCUGCAGUCGACUGGCUUGUUUCGGGGAGGCUUCCUUUCGAAAUACAGUCGCUGUGCUUCUCUCCGCCGUUAAAGGAUCAUUUUCAUCGGGGCAGAGCAAUCAAAGAGAGUAGAGCCAAGAAAGAAGACAAACUUUGAGUCAAGCAACUUGGAAUUACGCUCCGUCUCUGAAAUUUAGGAUAAGCAAGUCCAGAUUGUGAUUUUUGUCUUGUUUUGGACUGCUUAUGCCAGCAUCUUCAUCUCCAGACCAGGAUUCCAAGCUGCGAAGUCGGCGAUAAAGGAUUGCAGUGCGUCACCUGUCUGUCCCGUUAUAAACCUGUCCCAUUCGAGUCGUCCAGUCAGCCGGGCCCACUUGCAAUCCCACACACGGCGACCAGCCAAAGUGACCACUCUGCUCCAAGGUUAAGGUGGUUUUCAAUCCUAGACAUAGUCCUUGUCCAGAGGGCAGGGCAGAGUCAAACAGAAGCAGCGACGCAGCAGCUGAGCUGAGCUCAGCCAGACAGACGCGGUGACCUAAAUCAGCCCCAGUCAUGUCUGGACGCAGCCAAAGCCAGAGAGACGAAGAGGAAAACGAGCGAGAGAGGCAGAGCGCAACCCACACGUACUGACUUCAACAUAUACACGCACUAUGGGAUGGAGAGAAAUGGAGGAGGCUGUAAGGGGAGGGGGAGACAGAGUUGUCUCUCUCUCCCUCUCUCGCUCUUUUCUCCACCGCUUUAUUUCGUUCAUGUUCACAGCGCUGAUCUUCACCGUUGCUGCAGAGCGAAACGUAGAGUCGUGUCCCACUCAACCUCCCCCGUUUGCACUUUUGGGUACAGUAAACGGUGGGAUAAAAGACGGGCUGAAGUGAGUUGGUCAGACGGGCCUUGCCAAACCCACAGGCUGUUUCUGCCGCUCUGCUACCGCUGCGCUGUUUUUGAUGUGAGCCACAGUGCAGAUGCAGUGUUUUUUGGGCGAUCACCAAUAAGCUACCGUACUGGAGGAGAUGCUGGUAAAGUACGGGAGACCUUUCAAGAAAGCGAAUGCUGCUCCGGUGUGUCAUAGUCUAAGAGGGAUGCUUGGAGGAUGAAGGAAAAUCCAGUUUUUCUGUCAAUGGAAAAAAAGCGAAUGCUGGUCUGGUGUGCCAAUAUUCGUGAGGGAUGUUUGGAGGUUGAAUGGGAAACCCAGUUUUUCUGUCAUUGGAGAGUAUGUGAAUGCCUAAAUGUAAACAUUUAUGUUGUUGGGGAACUUUCUGGAAACUUUUGUAAUUUGUUGCUCCCCAAAGUGUGGGAUGUUAUUUAAAGACUCGAUAUACUUCAAACAAAAUCAAAGAAUGAAUUGAAAUGACGUCAUUUUGAAUAAAAUCUGUGUGAAUAGCCAAUAUUUUUGAGUUCUUUUCAGCAGUUUGAAACAGCUCAUCAAAGUACAUUUUAAGGAGAAUUAAUUUUGGCUUUUAAACACAUUUUAGCUACCAUUGGUCUGUGGUGAUUAUGCAUUCAGUGGGCUUGUUCUUGAUCUCUGCCUUCUUAAACAUGCGAUAUCUUCCCCGGGAUUUGUUACUUAUUCCACGGGGGUCGGAAAGGAGACCAACAUCUAAAAUAACAACACAAGCUACAGUACAUAAAUACACUGGAGAGUCGAGUAGCAGAACUGGUACAGAUGUAUCCGCACCAGUAUGUCUGCUCACAGAGGGAUGCCCACCUUGCCACGUCACAUCUUUUUUAUGAGUUUGUGCACACCAGCUUUACAUUUAGUGUCUGUUCGCAACUAGUAGAAAAGAAUGUAAAGAUAUGAUGUGCCAGAUAUUUAUGAAACUGUUCCAUUGUUGUGAGUACACAUAAGCAGCACAUUUAAAAACCCUGCCUACUGCAGCGGGAGCGUGUUGGAGUGUAAAAAUAUACACUUUUUUUUUUAUUACACUAAAACUAUAACUCAUGAGAUAGCCAUUUUGAUAUUUUUGUAAUUUAAAGGUCCCGUGAAAUUAAAAUUAAGUUUUUUAGAUGUUAGUUUCAGUUUGUUAAUUUUAAAGGAUAUCUAUGAGCUAGCGUGUCCCAAAACAGUGACAAAAUUCGUGUUUAGAACAUAUAAACAUCCAAAGUUUGUAGUUUGUCACUUCCGCCUGAAUCGUCAAGGAUUUUUUCACAUCACCUCAUACUUCAGUUUUUCAUCAAAUCUGGCCAAUCAAAUGCUCUGUAGCAUCGGUCAUGCCUACCCCCUUCAAGACGCUUCUCAUUUGAUUUAAUGCACUUUCUGGGAGAGCUGUCAUAAAAACAAAAUGAUAUUUUUUUUGGCGCUUUUUUCUUGAAAGAGGAGAAGCUACUUUUUGCCCAUUCUUCAUUUUUCAGUUGUAAUUACAUCAAACACAGAAUAAAAAUGCACAUUUCAAAGCACUUUACGGGACUUUUAAUAACUUUAAAUGAAAUUUUAUUUAUUUAAUUACAGUACCCCGACUGUGUGUAUAUUUAUUUUAUACAUAGUUAUUUUGAUAAAGUUUUAAAACGCAAAAAAGUUCUGAGUAUUUCUACCUUCAAUGGCAAUGACAGUCACAUUGACCGCAUGCAUUUCAGCAUCUGCUACUUUUACCAUUGUAUGUGUGCUUCUGUUGCCUAGCAACUUUCUGCUAACAAAAAUAUUACUUUCUGAUAGCAAAAACAAAACUUUACUUUAGACAUGUCUUGCAAACAUUUUAAAACAACGUUUUCACCGGAGUGAAAAAUCUUUGCUUUCCUGCUUGCCAGACAAUGUAAGGUACACACCUUCAGGGGGGUCAAGCAACUUGUGCACAGUUUUAGAUAGGUAUAUUGACCAUACAAUAUGAUGACAGAUAUUCAAAGCUUAGUUCUAAGAUUUCAAUAGAAGCUUCAAAUGUAAAUUACAAAAAAAAAGAAAAAUAAUAAUAAUAAAUAAAUAAAUAAAAAAUAAAAUAAUAAUAAAUAAAUAAAUAAAUUUGGUACAGUCUUUUAUGAAUGGUCAUGUAUACUGCAUAUAUAUGAAUUGUAUAUGACUGGUAUGAAUGGUAAUUCCAGUGUUUAAGCGGAUAAAAUACUGACAGUAUACUAGUAGAUUGCAAAAAGUAGAUCACUAUUGAAUGACACAAAAAUUAAAACUCAUUAUUUAUUCUUUUUGUUCAAACCCCUAUUUAACUGACUUGUUAUCAAUUAUAUGGAUUACAUUUCAGAAUAACAUUUUAUAGAAGGAUAAAAGACAUUAAUCAAUGAUGUAAUUUAUCAUUUUUAAUUAUCGAUUUGUGUGGGUGUGACAAAUGAUCCACUACCAGCCGCAUUUAUUUGAUCAUAAUACAUCACUAAGCAGUGGUGUUGUGAAAUGUAGUUACACUGUAAAAUAAUGUUUUAUAUUUGAAUAUAUGUUAGAAAUUAUUAAUUAUUAAAUGACUAAUUUAUCAAUAAUAUUGAAUUUCCAGCAUUAUUAAUCAAUUUUAAAUGAUCUUUGAUGAGACAUUAUGCUAUUAUGCUGAUUUGAGGCUGAAAAAAAAUCCUAAAAUCAUCAACGCUAAAUGAUUAUUUCACCCAAAACCCAACAAAUAAUUUACUCACACUUCACGUUUUACAAAUUUCUUUCUUCUGUUAAACAAUAGAGGACAUUUUAAAAAUAGAAUUUUGAUGUCAGAAACUGGUUACCAUUGGCUUCCUUAGUAUUUGUUUUUCCUAUGGAUGUCAAUUGGUUACCAGUUUAUAAGAUUCUUCAAAUAUCUUUUGUGUGUGUUAAACAGAAGAAAAUGUUUUGAAACCACUUGAAGAUGAGAAAAUAGUCAGUCAAAUUUCAUUUGUUUUGUUAAACUCUCUUUUUAAAAACAGUAUAUAUAUAUUCAUAUUUUUUUAUGUGGAAACUGUGGCAGUGUAUAUCUGUUGUAUAUCUGUGUAUAUCUGUUGUUUUUGAAUUUUUACAUAUCAACCUCAAUCCAUUUACUGAACACAGUAAAACACUUUGUGAAGUACUUCAA